This 461-nucleotide ribosomal RNA is filed under the name Acidipropionibacterium thoenii. RNAcentral's name for it is "bacterial SSU rRNA". It matches the Rfam family "Bacterial small subunit ribosomal RNA", at positions 910 to 1370 of the family's 1533-position model. Lineage: Bacteria; Bacillati; Actinomycetota; Actinomycetes; Propionibacteriales; Propionibacteriaceae. The record is from RNAcentral.
UUGACGGGGGCCCGCACAAGCGGCGGAGCAUGCGGAUUAAUUCGAUGCAACGCGAAGAACCUUACCUGGGUUUGACAUGGAUUGGUAACGGUCAGAGAUGGCCGCCCCCCUUGUGGGCCGAUUCACAGGUGGUGCAUGGCUGUCGUCAGCUCGUGUCGUGAGAUGUUGGGUUAAGUCCCGCAACGAGCGCAACCCUCGUCCACUGUUGCCAGCAAUUCGGUUGGGGACUCAGUGGAGACCGCCGGGGUCAACUCGGAGGAAGGUGGGGAUGACGUCAAGUCAUCAUGCCCCUUAUGUCCAGGGCUUCACGCAUGCUACAAUGGCCGGUACAAAGAGUUGCGACACUGUGAGGUGGAGCGAAUCUCAAAAAGCCGGUCUCAGUUCGGAUUGGGGUCUGCAACUCGACCCCAUGAAGUCGGAGUCGCUAGUAAUCGCAGAUCAGCAACGCUGCGGUGAAUACG